Molecule: ribosomal RNA, 468 nt
Filed under: uncultured bacterium
Lineage: Bacteria
Description: partial 16S ribosomal RNA
Rfam family: Bacterial small subunit ribosomal RNA
Source: RNAcentral
GACGAACGCUGGCGGCGUGCUUAACACAUGCAAGUCGAACGGAAAGGCCCUGCUUUUGUGGGGUGCUCGAGUGGCGAACGGGUGAGUAACACGUGAGUAACCUGCCCUUGACUUUGGGAUAACUUCAGGAAACUGGGGCUAAUACCGGAUAGGAGCUCCUGCUGCAUGGUGGGGGUUGGAAAGUUUCGGCGGUUGGGGAUGGACUCGCGGCUUAUCAGCUUGUUGGUGGGGUAGUGGCUUACCAAGGCUUUGACGGGUAGCCGGCCUGAGAGGGUGACCGGCCACAUGGGGACUGAGAUACGGCCCCGACUCCUACGGGAGGCAGCAGUGGGGAAUAUUGCACAAUGGGCGGAAGCCUGAUGCAGCAACGCCGCGUGCGGGAUGACGGCCUUCGGGUUGUAAACCGCUUUCGCCUGUGACGAAGCGUGAGUGACGGUAAUGGGUAAAGAAGCACCGGCUAACUACGUG